This 460-nucleotide ribosomal RNA is filed under the name uncultured bacterium. RNAcentral describes it as "partial 16S ribosomal RNA". It matches the Rfam family "Bacterial small subunit ribosomal RNA", at positions 338 to 795 of the family's 1533-position model. The record is from RNAcentral.
CCUACGAGAUGCAGCAGUGAGGAAUAUUGGUCAAUGGACGAGAGUCUGAACCAGCCAAGUAGCGUGAAGGAUGCCUGCCCUAUGGGUUGUAAACUUCUUUUAUAUGGGAAUAAAAUGUUCCACGUGUGGGAGUUUUUAUGUACCAUAUCAAUAAGGUUCGGCUAACUCCGUGCCAGCAGCCGCGGUAAUACGGAGGAUCCGAGCGUUAUCCGGAUUUAUUGGGUUUAAAGGGAUCGUAGGUGGAUUGUUAAGUCAGUUGUGAAAGUUUGCGGCUCAACCGUAAAAUUGCAGUUGACACUGGCAGUCUUGAGGACAGUAGAGGUGGGCGGAAUUCGUGGUGUAGCGGUGAAAUGCUUAGAUAUCACGAAGAACUCCGAUUGCGAAGGCAGCUCACUGGACUGCAACUGACACUGAGGCUCGAAAGUGUGGGUAUCAAACAGGAUUAGAUACCCGGGUAGUC